This 214-nucleotide small RNA is filed under the name Streptomyces sp. RNAcentral's name for it is "c-di-AMP sequence". It matches the Rfam family "c-di-AMP riboswitch aptamer (ydaO/yuaA leader)". From Rfam's summary of the family: This family represents a conserved RNA structure found upstream of the ydaO and yuaA genes in Bacillus subtilis and related genes in other bacteria. The ydaO/yuaA element is thought to act as a genetic "off" switch for the ydaO and yuaA genes in its native state. The record is from RNAcentral. Lineage: Bacteria; Bacillati; Actinomycetota; Actinomycetes; Kitasatosporales; Streptomycetaceae.
UCCGGGCGGACGCCGAGUCCUGCCGCCGCACGGACGACCGGUCGACGGGAGUGGAUCGGCAGGAGUGGAGGACCCAAGCACGACGGGUCGCCGGAACGGUCACGCCAUGGCCGGGCCGAGCAGCCCUUGGGGUGAAGCCGCAGCGAUGCGGCCGGGCAACUUCGCCAGCCCGAAUCCGACAGGUCAUCCUUCACAGGCGGCUGACGAAGGGUUG